RNAcentral lists this ribosomal RNA (764 nucleotides) under Escherichia coli. Its description in RNAcentral is "partial 23S ribosomal RNA". It matches the Rfam family "Bacterial large subunit ribosomal RNA", at positions 165 to 970 of the family's 2925-position model. Lineage: Bacteria; Pseudomonadati; Pseudomonadota; Gammaproteobacteria; Enterobacterales; Enterobacteriaceae. The record is from RNAcentral.
CAUAGGUUAAUGAGGCGAACCGGGGGAACUGAAACAUCUAAGUACCCCGAGGAAAAGAAAUCAACCGAGAUUCCCCCAGUAGCGGCGAGCGAACGGGGAGGAGCCCAGAGCCUGAAUCAGUGUGUGUGUUAGUGGAAGCGUCUGGAAAGGCGCGCGAUACAGGGUGACAGCCCCGUACACAAAAAUGCACAUAUUGUGAGCUCGAUGAGUAGGGCGGGACACGUGGUAUCCUGUCUGAAUAUGGGGGGACCAUCCUCCAAGGCUAAAUACUCCUGACUGACCGAUAGUGAACCAGUACCGUGAGGGAAAGGCGAAAAGAACCCCGGCGAGGGGAGUGAAAAAGAACCUGAAACCGUGUACGUACAAGCAGUGGGAGCCUCUUAAUGGGGUGACUGCGUACCUUUUGUAUAAUGGGUCAGCGACUUAUAUUCUGUAGCAAGGUUAACCGAAUAGGGGAGCCGAAGGGAAACCGAGUCUUAACUGGGCGUUAAGUUGCAGGGUAUAGACCCGAAACCCGGUGAUCUAGCCAUGGGCAGGUUGAAGGUUGGGUAACACUAACUGGAGGACCGAACCGACUAAUGUUGAAAAAUUAGCGGAUGACUUGUGGCUGGGGGUGAAAGGCCAAUCAAACCGGGAGAUAGCUGGUUCUCCCCGAAAGCUAUUUAGGUAGCGCCUCGUGAAUUCAUCUCCGGGGGUAGAGCACUGUUUCGGCAAGGGGGUCAUCCCGACUUACCAACCCGAUGCAAACUGCGAAUACCGGAGAA